Molecule: long non-coding RNA, 252 nt
Organism: Aedes aegypti (yellow fever mosquito)
Lineage: Eukaryota; Metazoa; Arthropoda; Insecta; Diptera; Culicidae
Exons: 2
Source: RefSeq, a predicted model, not a curated record
CUUUUAUUUGUUUUUUUCAAGAUACUAUGACAACGAACAAGAAAUGCUGCUGCUGACGCCUUAUUUUUCUUUCGAAUUGCUCACCAGAGAGACUGGAGAAAGUGACUAACCAUGACGCUGUUUAGUAUUUUUUGGAGGAAAAUGGCGUGCAGCUUUUCGUUCGAUAUGAAGAGCCUGGUGUUUCAAUUAUUUCAAUAAUUUAUCUUAGAAUACAUGUAUUGCAAAAACCUAAAUAAAUAAUACCCCAUGUGA